UACAGAGGGUGCGAGCGUUAGUCGGAAUUACUGGGCGUAAAGCGUGCGUAGACGGCUAUCUAAGUCGGGUGUGAAAGCCCCGGGCUCAACCUGGGAAUUGCAUUCGAGACUGAAUAGCUAGGGUGCGGUAGAGGGAAGCGGAAUUUCCGGUGUAGCGGUGAAAUGCGUAGAUAUCGGAAGGAACAUCAGUGGCGAAAGCGGCUUCCUGGACCAGCACCGACGUUCAGGCACGAAAGCGUGGGGAGCAAACAGG
This 253-nucleotide ribosomal RNA is filed under the name uncultured bacterium. Its description in RNAcentral is "partial 16S ribosomal RNA". It matches the Rfam family "Bacterial small subunit ribosomal RNA", at positions 524 to 776 of the family's 1533-position model. The record is from RNAcentral.